GACGAGGGGUCCAAGCGUUGUUCGGAAUCAUUGGGCGUAAAGCGGGUGUAGGUGGCUCUAUAAGUCAGAAGUGAAAGCCCCGGGCUUAACCCGGGAAGUGCUUUUGAUACUGCAGAGCUUGAAUGUGGGAGAGGGUAGUGGAAUUCCAGGUGUAGUGGUGAAAUACGUAGAUAUCUGGAGGAACACCGGUGGCGAAGGCGGCUACCUGGCCCAACAUUGACACUGAGACCCGAAAGCGGGGGGAUCAAACAGG
Molecule: ribosomal RNA, 253 nt
Filed under: uncultured bacterium
Lineage: Bacteria
Description: partial 16S ribosomal RNA
Rfam family: Bacterial small subunit ribosomal RNA
Source: RNAcentral